Molecule: unclassified non-coding RNA, 276 nt
Filed under: Hevea brasiliensis (rubber tree)
Lineage: Eukaryota; Viridiplantae; Streptophyta; Magnoliopsida; Malpighiales; Euphorbiaceae
Source: RNAcentral
AUUCGGCCUUAGCCUUUGCUCAAAGUGAGGUUCUAUGGUAUUUCCAACAUGUAGGAAUAGCUUCAUCGAAGUCAAGAGCUGCCAGAACGGUUCCGGUAGAAAUGGAUCCAAGUGAUCCAACGAUUGGCUUCUUGUUGGAUGGAAUGGAUCGUCUUUGUUGCCUAGUGCGCAAGUAUAUUGCUGCUAUUAGAGGAUACGCCUUAUCAUAUCUAUCAUCCUGUGCUGGUAGAAUCCGAUUUUUGUUGGGUACCCCUGGCAUGGUUGCUCUCGACUUGG